AACGCGAAGAACCUUACCAAGGUUUGACAUGCAGGGAAAAGCCGUAGAGAUAUGGUGUCCGUAAGGGCCCUGCACAGGUGGUGCAUGGCUGUCGUCAGCUCGUGUCGUGAGAUGUUGGGUUAAGUCCCGCAACGAGCGCAACCCUCGUCCUAUGUUGCCAGCGGAUAAUGCCGGGGACUCAUAGGAGACUGCCGGGGUCAACUCGGAGGAAGGUGGGGAUGAGGUCAAGUCAUCAUGCCCCUUAAGUCUUGGGCUGCAAACAUGCUACAAUGGCCGGUACAGAGGGCUGCGAAACCGCAAGGUGGAGCGAAUCUCAAAAAGCCGGUCUCAGUUCGGAUUGGGGUCUGCAACUCGACCCCAUGAAGUCGGAGUCGCUAGUAAUCGCAGAUCAGCAACGCUGCGGUGAAUACGUUCCCGGGCCUUGUA
Molecule: ribosomal RNA, 426 nt
Filed under: uncultured Actinomycetes bacterium
Lineage: Bacteria; Bacillati; Actinomycetota; Actinomycetes
Description: bacterial SSU rRNA
Rfam family: Bacterial small subunit ribosomal RNA
Source: RNAcentral